This 1032-nucleotide ribosomal RNA is filed under the name Salmonella enterica subsp. enterica. Its description in RNAcentral is "partial 23S ribosomal RNA". It matches the Rfam family "Bacterial large subunit ribosomal RNA", at positions 596 to 1547 of the family's 2925-position model. The record is from RNAcentral. Lineage: Bacteria; Pseudomonadati; Pseudomonadota; Gammaproteobacteria; Enterobacterales; Enterobacteriaceae.
ACUGCGUACCUUUUGUAUAAUGGGUCAGCGACUUAUAUUCUGUAGCAAGGUUAACCGUAUAGGGGAGCCGGAGGGAAACCGAGUCUUAAUUGGGCGUUAAGUUGCAGGGUAUAGACCCGAAACCCGGUGAUCUAGCCAUGGGCAGGUUGAAGGUUGGGUAACACUAACUGGAGGACCGAACCGACUAAUGUUGAAAAAUUAGCGGAUGACCUGUGGCUGGGGGUGAAAGGCCAAUCAAACCGGGAGAUAGCUGGUUCUCCCCGAAAGCUAUUUAGGUAGCGCCUCGUGAAUUCAUCUCCGGGGGUAGAGCACUGUUUCGGCUAGGGGGCCAUCCCGGCUUACCAACCCGAUGCAAACUGCGAAUACCGGAGAAUGUUAUCACGGGAGACACACGGCGGGUGCUAACGUCCGUCGUGAAGAGGGAAACAACCCAGACCGCCAGCUAAGGUCCCAAAGUCAUGGUUAAGUGGGAAACGAUGUGGGAAGGCCCAGACAGCCAGGAUGUUGGCUUAGAAGCAGCCAUCAUUUAAAGAAAGCGUAAUAGCUCACUGGUCGAGUCGGCCUGCGCGGAAGAUGUAACGGGGCUAAACCAUGCACCGAAGCUGCGGCAGCGAACGUAUCACCCAAGACAACUUUACGGAGUUGACGAUUGACGGAGCGAAGCGACGUCAAAGCGUUCAUUAAAGUCGAGUUGGCUUAGGGAUACGUUCGUUGGGUAGGGGAGCGUUCUGUAAGCCUGUGAAGGUGUGUCGUGAGGCAUGCUGGAGGUAUCAGAAGUGCGAAUGCUGACAUAAGUAACGAUAAAGCGGGUGAAAAGCCCGCUCGCCGGAAGACCAAGGGUUCCUGUCCAACGUUAAUCGGGGCAGGGUGAGUCGACCCCUAAGGCGAGGCCGAAAGGCGUAGUCGAUGGGAAACGGGUUAAUAUUCCCGUACUUGGUGUUACUGCGAAGGGGGGACGGAGAAGGCUAUGUUGGCCGGGCGACGGUUGUCCCGGUUUAAGCGUGUAGGUGUGUGUUCCAGGUAAAUCCGGUU